Populus trichocarpa (black cottonwood) is the source of this 270-nucleotide long non-coding RNA. RefSeq lists it as uncharacterized. Lineage: Eukaryota; Viridiplantae; Streptophyta; Magnoliopsida; Malpighiales; Salicaceae. The transcript has 3 exons. The record is from RefSeq and is a predicted model, not a curated record.
GGAGAAACAUGGAAAAAUGGGUCGUUAGUGGGUAUUUGUAUAUGGGUCUCUAAUAUGGAAAGCAGGCUUUAACUACGAUGAUCGUGUCGUUGGCUUCAUCAAAGGAUAUCGCCGUGUAUUUUACUAAGGCAGCACUGACCAUAGAGGCACAACAGAGUAUCCAGGAAGGAAUGUGACUUUAGAACCUGCUAAUGGGGAAGUCUGUUGGGGAGUUGCAUAUAAGAUUUCCAAGAAAGAAGAUCAAGAAGUAGCUCUGACGGUAUGGUUCUU